This 595-nucleotide ribosomal RNA is filed under the name Xenocharax spilurus. RNAcentral's name for it is "partial 16S large subunit ribosomal RNA". It matches the Rfam family "Bacterial large subunit ribosomal RNA", at positions 1809 to 2609 of the family's 2925-position model. The record is from RNAcentral. Lineage: Eukaryota; Metazoa; Chordata; Actinopteri; Characiformes; Distichodontidae.
AAAAACAUCGCCUCCCGCAAAUAUUUUAACGUAUGGGAGGUCUUGCCUGCCCAGUGAAUUAGUUUAAACGGCCGCGGUAUCUUGACCGUGCAAAGGUAGCGCAAUCACUUGUCUUUUAAAUGAAGACCUGUAUGAAUGGCGGAACGAGGGCUUAACUGUCUCCCCCCUCAGGUCAGUGAAAUUGAUCUGUCCGUGCAGAAGCGGACAUACACAUACAAGACGAGAAGACCCUUUGGAGCUUAAGACACCAAGGCCAACUAUGUCAAAAACCUAUCCAAACUAGAUUAAACUAAAUAAUAACUGGCCUCCGUCUUCGGUUGGGGCGACCACGGGGGAAAACAAAGCCCCCAUGAGGACUGGGAUAAAUCCUAAAACCAAGAGAGACAUCUCUAAGUCACAGAACAUCUGACCACACAGAUCCGGCCUCACGGCCGAUCAACGAACCAAGUUACCCUAGGGAUAACAGCGCAAUCCCCUCCCAGAGUCCUUAUCGACGAGGGGGUUUACGACCUCGAUGUUGGAUCAGGACAUCCUAAUGGUGCAGCCGCUAUUAAGGGUUCGUUUGUUCAACGAUUAAAGUCCUACGUGAUCUGAG